UACGAGUGCCUCAAGCGUUAUCCGGAAUCAUUGGGCGUAAAGGGUGUGUAGGUGGUUUUGUUAGUCUCGCGUAAAAUGCUCCGGCUCAACCGGAGCUCCGCGCGGGAAACGGCAAGACUAGAGGACGGUAGAGGUUUCUGGAACUCAUAGUGUAGCGGUGAAAUGCGUUGAUAUUAUGGGGAACACCAAAAGCGAAGGCAAGAAACUGGACCGCUCCUGACACUGAAACACGAAAGCGUGGGUCGCGAAUGGG
Molecule: ribosomal RNA, 253 nt
Filed under: uncultured bacterium
Lineage: Bacteria
Description: partial 16S ribosomal RNA
Rfam family: Bacterial small subunit ribosomal RNA
Source: RNAcentral